UGGGGAAUAUUGCACAAUGGGCGCAAGCCUGAUGCAGCCAUGCCGCGUGUGUGAAGAAGGCCUUCGGGUUGUAAAGCACUUUCAGCGAGGAGGAAGGUGGUGAACUUAAUACGUUCAUCCAUUGACGUUACUCGCAGAAGAAGCACCGGCUAACUCCGUGCCAGCAGCCGCGGUAAUACGGAGGGUGCAAGCGUUAAUCGGAAUUACUGGGCGUAAAGCGCACGCAGGCGGUUUGUUAAGUCAGAUGUGAAAUCCCCGGGCUCAACCUGGGAACUGCAUUUGAAACUGGCAAGCUAGAGUCUCGUAGAGGGGGGUAGAAUUCCAGGUGUAGCGGUGAAAUGCGUAGAGAUCUGGAGGAAUACCGGUGGCGAAGGCGGCCCCCUGGACGAAGACUGACGCUCAGGUGCGAAAAGCGUGGGGAGCAAAACAGGAUUAGAUACCCUGGUAGUCCACGCUGUAAAACGAUGUCGAUUUUGGAGGUUGUGCCCUUGAGGCGUGGCUUCCGGAGCUAACGCGUUAAAUCGACCGCCUGGGGAGUACGGCCGC
Molecule: ribosomal RNA, 546 nt
Filed under: uncultured bacterium
Lineage: Bacteria
Description: partial 16S ribosomal RNA
Rfam family: Bacterial small subunit ribosomal RNA
Source: RNAcentral